GUGAAGARGAGCUUGCUCCUUGGAUCAGUGGCGAACGGGUGAGUAACACGUGAGCAAUCUGCCCUUGACUCUGGGAUAACUGCGGGAAACUGUAGCUAAUACCGGAUAUUACCUUGGAAGGCAUCUUCUGGGGUGGAAAGAAUUUUGGUCAAGGAUGAGCUCGCGGCCUAUCAGCUAGUUGGUGAGGUAAUGGCUCACCAAGGCGACGACGGGUAGCCGGCCUGAGAGGGUGACCGGCCACACUGGGACUGAGACACGGCCCAGACUCCUACGGGAGGCAGCAGUGGGGAAUAUUGCACAAUGGGCGCAAGCCUGAUGCAGCAACGCCGCGUGAGGGACGAAGGCCUUCGGGUUGUAAACCUCUUUUAGUAGGGAAGAAGCGACUGGGUUUUCCUGGGAGUGACGGUACCUGCAGAAAAAGCACCGGCUAACUACGUGCCAGCAGCCGCGGUAAUACGUAGGGUGCAAGCGUUGUCCGGAAUUAUUGGGCGUAAAGAGCUCGUAGGCGGUUUGUCGCGUCUGCUGUGAAAACCCGAGGCUCAACCUCGGGCCUGCAGUGGGUACGGGCAGACUAGAGUGCGGUAGGGGAGAUUGGAAUUCCUGGUGUAGCGGUGGAAUGCGCAGAUAUCAGGAGGAACACCAAUGGCGAAGGCAGAUCUCUGGGCCGUAACUGACGCUGAGGAGCGAAAGCAUGGGGAGCGAACAGGAUUAGAUACCCUGGUAGUCCAUGCCGUAAACGUUGGGAACUAGAUGUGGGGACCAUUCCACGGUCUCCGUGUCGCAGCUAACGCAUUAAGUUCCCCGCCUGGGGAGUACGGCCGCAAGGCUAAAACUCAAAGGAAUUGACGGGGGCCCGCACAAGCGGCGGAGCAUGCGGAUUAAUUCGAUGCAACGCGAAGAACCUUACCAAGGCUUGACAUAUACCGGAAACGGCCAGAAAUGGUCGCCCCGCAAGGUCGGUAUACAGGUGGUGCAUGGUUGUCKUCAGCUCGUGUCGUGAGAUGUUGGGUUAAGUCCCGCAACSAGCGCMMCCCUCSYCCUAUGUUGCCAGCACGUAAUGGUGGGGAACUCRUGGGAUACUGCCCGGGGUCAACUCGGAAGGAAGGUGGGGAUGACKUCAAAUCAUCRUGCCCCUUANGUCUUGGGYUUC
This 1150-nucleotide ribosomal RNA is filed under the name Cryobacterium sp. RNAcentral describes it as "bacterial SSU rRNA". It matches the Rfam family "Bacterial small subunit ribosomal RNA", at positions 68 to 1217 of the family's 1533-position model. The record is from RNAcentral. Lineage: Bacteria; Bacillati; Actinomycetota; Actinomycetes; Micrococcales; Microbacteriaceae.